GGCGGCGUGCUUAACACAUGCAAGUCGAACGAUGAAGCCCAGCUGCUGGGUGGAUUAGUGGCGAACGGGUGAGUAACACGUGAGUAACCUGCCCUUAACUCUGGGAUAAGCCUGGGAAACUGGGUCUAAUACCGGAUAGGAGCGUCCACCGCAUGGUGGGUGUUGGAAAGAUUUAUCGGUUUUGGAUGGACUCGCGGCCUAUCAGCUUGUUGGUGAGGUAAUGGCUCACCAAGGCGACGACGGGUAGCCGGCCUGAGAGGGUGACCGGCCACACUGGGACUGAGACACGGCCCAGACUCCUACGGGAGGCAGCAGUGGGGAAUAUUGCACAAUGGGCGCAAGCCUGAUGCAGCGACGCCGCGUGAGGGAUGACGGCCUUCGGGUUGUAAACCUCUUUCAGUAGGGAAGAAGCGAAAGUGACGGUACCUGCAGAAGAAGCACCGGCUAACUACGUGCCAGCAGCCGCGGUAAUACGUAGGGUGCGAGCGUUAUCCGGAAUUAUUGGGCGUAAAGAGCUCGUAGGCGGUUUGUCGCGUCUGUCGUGAAAGUCCGGGGCUUAACCCCGGAUCUGCGGUGGGUACGGGCAGACUAGAGUGCGGUAGGGGAGACUGGAAUUCCUGGUGUAGCGGUGGAAUGCGCAGAUAUCAGGAGGAACACCGAUGGCGAAGGCAGGUCUCUGGGCUGUAACUGACGCUGAGGAGCGAAAGCAUGGGGAGCGAACAGGAUUAGAUACCCUGGUAGUCCAUGCCGUAAACGUUGGGCACUAGGUGUGGGGACCAUUCCACUGGUUUCCGUGCCGCUAGCUAACGCAU
This 812-nucleotide ribosomal RNA is filed under the name Micrococcus sp. Its description in RNAcentral is "bacterial SSU rRNA". It matches the Rfam family "Bacterial small subunit ribosomal RNA", at positions 38 to 860 of the family's 1533-position model. Lineage: Bacteria; Bacillati; Actinomycetota; Actinomycetes; Micrococcales; Micrococcaceae. The record is from RNAcentral.